ACAGUUGUAGACUAGAAAGUGCAUUUUCUGAAGAAACUGCAGUGUGAAUGCUUGAAUCUGAAUGUAUGCACUGAAAUGAAUUAAUUGCUGAAUUUUGAGUUAAAAAUAUUGAAUGAGAUUUAAAAAAAAACAAAAAAAAAAAACGAAUUUAACCUUAAAACAAAGGUGCUGAACUGCUAAAAGCUGAAGGUUACACAGAAGAAGGAGUUGGAAAAAAACUGAAAAUGUUUUAAAUGUAAAUUAGAAAACCCUAAGAAAUGAGAAAAGAACAUUUAGAGUCAGAAAACAUCUGAAUGAAUAUUAAAAGGUCAUAUUCUUUGAAUCACUGAAUGACUCAAAUGUGAUCCCUCCACUUUGAUCCACACAGUUUAAAAAGUUUAAAUGCCUGAGCUUUGAAAGAUACGAUGUUGGAAAAAGAACAACGAUGGCGACGUUUUGAGGGUAAAAUGAUGGCUUUAACACUGUGGACACAGCAGCAGUUGAAAGAGAAGUGUUUAAGAUGAAUCUUGGCAGAGUGAGAGAGAGAGCUCGUUAAGCAGGCAGGUGUGAGCCUGGUUGCUAUAGUGACCGCACCCAAUGGCUCCAUACACACGUACACAGACAUGCGCCUCACUUUUGCUGCUUAAAAUGAACAGAAAAGUCAGGCCGAAACAAAUCGUUCCCAAAUGAAAAGUAAAAGUCGUAUUGACAAAAUUCUUUCACCGUGAGCGACAGCAGCUUCUAGUCUACCUAAUUCUCAGUUUUCAUGUCUGUGGAGUUUAUUAUAUGGACGUGGUGACAGUGGAAAGACCCAAUGCUCUUCUGAUUUUCAAACGAACCUUCUGAGCCAUUUUAACAUUAGAGUCUAUGGAAGAGUUGGAGGGAGGAGGCUGUGCAUUGGUGACAUUUACGAAAGAACCAUAACACCUAGGACAAUAGUAAACACAUUGGAUGAAAGAGGACAGCGAUGGCUACGUUUUGAGGGUAAAAUCAUACCUGUAGAGCAAACGCUGCGGACACAGCAGCAGUUUUAAAAAAGAUUUUAAGAUUAAUUUUUUUGCUCCUCUCACUCUAGCAGUUGAGCUGCCUCACUCUAGCCCCAACAUUCCGUCCCAUACACACCCAUUAUAAACUCUGAAACGGGUGAAAAAACAUCAUGAAACUUAAACUGGAACUGAAGAAAAAGUAUAAUAGAUAUUGAAAAGAUAAAUACAAGUUCAAUAGUUGAAUGUCUUGUCUUCGUUUUAAAGUUUGAAUGGUGGCUCUAUGUCAACGUAUGUGGAAGUAGUAGGAGUUUAAAAAUGAGUAAGUUGAAUGAGAAUUUGAAGGGUCUCCCCAUUGAAAUACAUGGGAAAUUUUUGUUGAAUAAAGUUGAAUAAAAUUAAAAAUAUAAAUGUUAAAAAUGAGAAAAGUAGAAGCAGUCAUGUCCAAAAGAAUAGGAAUCUAACGGUGUUUGAAUGGUUUUUCUAAGUUGAACGGUUUUGAAGGAGUAGGAGUACAAAAAACGUACGGAAUAGAUAAAAUAUAAUAAUAAUAAAG
Molecule: long non-coding RNA, 1518 nt
Organism: Astatotilapia calliptera (eastern happy)
Lineage: Eukaryota; Metazoa; Chordata; Actinopteri; Cichliformes; Cichlidae
Source: Ensembl